This 75-nucleotide transfer RNA is filed under the name Candidatus Nardonella dryophthoridicola. Its description in RNAcentral is "tRNA-Asp". It matches the Rfam family "tRNA". Rfam says of the family: Transfer RNA (tRNA) molecules are approximately 80 nucleotides in length. Their secondary structure includes four short double-helical elements and three loops (D, anti-codon, and T loops). RNAcentral also lists the same sequence under 1 other name. Lineage: Bacteria; Pseudomonadati; Pseudomonadota; Gammaproteobacteria. The record is from RNAcentral.
GGUAUGAUAGUUCAGCUAGGUUAGAACAUCGGUUUGUCACGCCGAGGGUCACGGGUUCGAAUCCCGUUCAUACCG